This 493-nucleotide ribosomal RNA is filed under the name uncultured bacterium. RNAcentral describes it as "partial 16S ribosomal RNA". It matches the Rfam family "Bacterial small subunit ribosomal RNA", at positions 29 to 507 of the family's 1533-position model. The record is from RNAcentral.
ACGAACGCUGGCGGCGUGCUUAACCCAUGCAAGUCGAACGGUGAAGCGCCUUCCUUUUUGGUGGGUGUGGAUGAGUGGCGAACGGGUGAGUAACACGUGAGUAACCUGCCCCCUUCUUCUGGAUAACCGCAUGAAAGUGUGGCUAAUACGGGAUAUUCUGGGUCUGUCGCAUGAUGGGUCUGGGAAAGAUAUUGUUUCGGUGGGGGAUGGGCUCGCGGCCUAUCAGCUUGUUGGUGGGGUGAUGGCCUACCAAGGCGGUGACGGGUAGCCGGCCUGAGAGGGUGGACGGUCACACUGGGACUGAGACACGGCCCAGACUCCUACGGGAGGCAGCAGUGGGGAAUAUUGCACAAUGGGCGCAAGCCUGAUGCAGCGACGCCGCGUGAGGGAUGGAGGCCUUCGGGUUGUGAACCUCUUUCGCCAGUGAAGCAGGCCUGCCUCGUUUGUGGGUGGGUUGACAGUAGCUGGAUAAGAAGCGCCGGCUAACUACGUG